This 1513-nucleotide ribosomal RNA is filed under the name Entomoplasma ellychniae. Its description in RNAcentral is "bacterial SSU rRNA". It matches the Rfam family "Bacterial small subunit ribosomal RNA". RNAcentral also lists the same sequence under 1 other name. The record is from RNAcentral. Lineage: Bacteria; Bacillati; Mycoplasmatota; Mollicutes; Entomoplasmatales; Entomoplasmataceae.
AGAGUUUGAUCCUGGCUCAGGAUAAACGCUGGCGGCAUGCCUAAUACAUGCAAGUCGAACGGGAGUGCUUGCACUCCAGUGGCGAACGGGUGAGUAACACGUAUCUAACCUACCUUUUAGUGGGGGAUAACUUUUGGAAACGAAAGAUAAUACCGCAUAUUAAUAUCAUUAUCGCAUGAGAAGAUAUUCAAAGAUCCGUUUGGAUCGCUAAAAGAUGGGGAUGCGGCGUAUUAGUUAGUAGGCGGGGUAAUGGCCCACCUAGACAAUGAUACGUAGCCGAACUGAGAGGUUGAUCGGCCACAUUGGGACUGAGAUACGGCCCAGACUCCUACGGGAGGCAGCAGUAGGGAAUUUUUCACAAUGGACGAAAGUCUGAUGAAGCAAUGCCGCGUGAGUGAUGACGGCCUUCGGGUUGUAAAGCUCUGUUGUAAGGGAAGAAAAAAUUUGAGAGGAAAUGCUCUUAUCUUGACGGUACCUUACCAGAAAGCCACGGCUAACUAUGUGCCAGCAGCCGCGGUAAUACAUAGGUGGCAAGCGUUAUCCGGAUUUAUUGGGCGUAUAGGGUGCGUAGGCGGUUUCGCAAGUUUGAGGUUAAAGCCCGGAGCUCAACUCCGGUUCGCCUUGAAAACUGUGGGACUAGAAUAUCAGAGAGGUAAACGGAAUUCCAUGUGUAGCGGUAAAAUGCGUAGAUAUAUGGAAGAACACCAGUGGCGAAAGCGGUUUACUGGCUGAUUAUUGACGCUGAGGCACGAAAGCGUGGGGAGCAAAUAGGAUUAGAUACCCUAGUAGUCCACGCCGUAAACGUUGAGUACUAAGUAUUGGGGAUUACCUCAGUGCUGCAGCUAACGCAUUAAGUACUCCGCCUGAGUAGUAUGCUCGCAAGAGUGAAACUCAAAGGAAUUGACGGGGACCCGCACAAGUGGUGGAGCAUGUGGUUUAAUUCGAAGCAACACGAAGAACCUUACCAGGGCUUGACAUCCAGUGCAAAGCUACAGAGAUGUAGUGGAGGUAAACAUUGAGACAGGUGGUGCAUGGUUGUCGUCAGUUCGUGCCGUGAGGUGUUGGGUUAAGUCCCGCAACGAACGCAACCCUUGUCGUUAGUUACUAACAUUAAGUUGAGGACUCUAACGAGACUGCUAGUGUAAGCUAGAGGAAGGUGGGGAUGACGUCAAAUCAUCAUGCCCCUUAUGUCCUGGGCUACACACGUGCUACAAUGGCUGGUACAAAGAGUCGCAAUCUCGCGAGGGGGAGCUAAUCUCAAAAAACCAGUCUCAGUUCGGAUUGAAGUCUGCAACUCGACUUCAUGAAGCCGGAAUCACUAGUAAUCGCGGAUCAGCUAUGCCGCGGUGAAUACGUUCUCGGGUCUUGUACACACCGCCCGUCAAACCACGAGAGUUGGUAAUACCAGAAGUACGUAGCCUAACCGUAAGGAAGGCGCGUCCCAAGGUAGGACUAGCGAUUGGGGUUAAGUCGUAACAAGGUAUCCGUACGGGAACGUGCGGAUGGAUCACCU